AGACCACCCUUGUUUUAUUGUUCCCCUGGAGUGCAGAGACAGAUUCCACCUGAAGUGAGUUGAUUACCCUCACCUGUGGAUUCCCUGAAACAACUCUUGCCUGCAUGAAUUCUGCCUUGGCCUGUCGUGAAGAGCCACCUGACCGGCGAAACGCGCGUGGGGACUCAACUCUGCACACCUCUGACUUCUAGAAACUACAAUAUUUCAAGUACUGCCCCAGACCCUGUUUAGUGGGUAAAAGUUUGUCCAUAGACUGAAAUAGUUUUAAGUAAACCCUGCGUUUGUAGCUCUG
Pelobates cultripes (western spadefoot toad) is the source of this 292-nucleotide non-coding RNA. The record is from the annotation of a GenBank genome assembly. Lineage: Eukaryota; Metazoa; Chordata; Amphibia; Anura; Pelobatidae.